This 384-nucleotide long non-coding RNA is filed under the name Mytilus galloprovincialis (Mediterranean mussel). Lineage: Eukaryota; Metazoa; Mollusca; Bivalvia; Mytilida; Mytilidae. The record is from RNAcentral.
UAUUAAAUACAAUAAUCAGUCAAUAUAAAGCUUUUCACCCACCUGAACAUAGAAGUAAUAGUCAUCAUUAUAACAAUACAAAUUGUAAUCGCGUUUCAAAGUUUCAAAAAUUGUUAUUUUAUUUUUUGAAACUUGAAUAGGUUAGAAGUGUUUAUAAAAGUUUUUUUUACUUAGUUUUGAAAAUUGACAAAAGAUGCUUUGAUAACACUCUGUUGCCUUCUGUGGAAGUUAAUUCUUAUAGCACUUACUAUUCAAAUCCUUGCUAAGUUCAAGUUUUACUUAAGGAUGUACUUAGAUGAGGUUUUGGAAUUUGUGUCAAAUGUUCGGACUCUUUGGUGUUUUUCCAUACAAUUCAAUGUAAAAUAUUUUGCCUCAUAACACCCA